This 64-nucleotide transfer RNA is filed under the name Doliolum nationalis. RNAcentral describes it as "tRNA-Gly". The record is from RNAcentral. Lineage: Eukaryota; Metazoa; Chordata; Thaliacea; Doliolida; Doliolidae.
AAGUGUGUAGUUUAACCAAAAUUACUAGUUUCUAUCUGGUAGAUCCGAGCAUCCGGUACACUUA